This 458-nucleotide ribosomal RNA is filed under the name uncultured bacterium. Its description in RNAcentral is "bacterial SSU rRNA". It matches the Rfam family "Bacterial small subunit ribosomal RNA", at positions 340 to 787 of the family's 1533-position model. The record is from RNAcentral.
UACGGGAGGCAGCAGGGGGAAUAUUGGACAAUGGGCGGAAGCCUGAUCCAGCCAUGCCGCGUGUGUGAAGAAGGCCUUUUGGUUGUAAAGCACUUUAAGCGAGGAGGAGGCUCUCCUAGUUAAUACCUAGGAAGAGUGGACGUUACUCGCAGAAUAAGCACCGGCUAACUCUGUGCCAGCAGCCGCGGUAAUACAGAGGGUGCGAGCGUUAAUCGGAUUUACUGGGCGUAAAGCGUGCGUAGGCGGCUGAUUAAGUCGGAUGUGAAAUCCCUGAGCUUAACUUAGGAAUUGCAUUCGAUACUGGUCAGCUAGAGUAUGGGAGAGGAUGGUAGAAUUCCAGGUGUAGCGGUGAAAUGCGUAGAGAUCUGGAGGAAUACCGAUGGGCGAAGGCAGCCAUCUGGCCUAUACUGACGCUGAGGUACGAAAGCAUGGGGAAGGCAAACAGGAUUAGAAUAACC